RNAcentral lists this ribosomal RNA (253 nucleotides) under uncultured bacterium. RNAcentral describes it as "partial 16S ribosomal RNA". It matches the Rfam family "Bacterial small subunit ribosomal RNA", at positions 524 to 776 of the family's 1533-position model. The record is from RNAcentral.
UACGAAGGGGGCUAGCGUUGUUCGGAUUUACUGGGCGUAAAGCGCACGUAGGCGGCUCUUUAAGUCAGAGGUGAAAUCCCAAGGCUCAACCUUGGAACUGCCUUUGAUACUGGGGAUCUCGAGUCCGGGAGAGGUGAGUGGAACUGCGAGUGUAGAGGUGAAAUUCGUAGAUAUUCGCAAGAACACCAGUGGCGAAGGCGGCUCACUGGCCCGGUACUGACGCUGAGGUGCGAAAGCGUGGGGAGCAAACAGG